This 900-nucleotide ribosomal RNA is filed under the name Pleurostoma ootheca. RNAcentral's name for it is "SSU rRNA". It matches the Rfam family "Eukaryotic small subunit ribosomal RNA", at positions 89 to 1000 of the family's 1831-position model. The record is from RNAcentral. Lineage: Eukaryota; Fungi; Ascomycota; Sordariomycetes; Calosphaeriales; Pleurostomataceae.
GCGGACGGCUCAUUAAAUCAGUUAUCGUUUAUUUGAUAGCACCUACUACAUGGAUAACUGUGGUAAUUCUAGAGCUAAUACAUGCUAAAAAUCCCGACUUCGGAAGGGAUGUAUUUAUUAGAUUAAAAACCAAUGCCCUUCGGGGCUCUCUGGUGAUUCAUAAUAACUGCUCGAAUCGCACGGCCUUGCGCCGGCGAUGGCUCAUUCAAAUUUCUGCCCUAUCAACUUUCGACGGCUGGGUCUUGGCCAGCCAUGGUGACAACGGGUAACGGAGGGUUAGGGCUCGACCCCGGAGAAGGAGCCUGAGAGACGGCUACUACAUCCAAGGAAGGCAGCAGGCGCGCAAAUUACCCAAUCCCAAUUCGGGGAGGUAUGACAAUAAAUACUGAUACAGGGCUCUUUUGGGUCUUGUAAUCGGAAUGAGAACAAUUUAAAUCCCUUAACGAGGAACAAUUGGAGGGCAAGUCUGGUGCCAGCAGCCGCGGUAAUUCCAGCUCCAAUAGCGUAUAUUAAAGUUGUUGCAGUUAAAAAGCUCGUAGUUGAACCUUGGGCCUGGCUGGCCGGUCCGCCUCACCGCGUGCACUGGUCCGGCCGGGCCUUUCCCUCUGGGGAGCCGCAUGCCCUUCACUGGGCGUGUCGGGGAACCAGGACUUUUACUGUGAAAAAAUUAGAGUGUUCAAAGCAGGCCUAUGCUCGAAUACAUUAGCAUGGAAUAAUAGAAUAGGACGUGUGGUUCUAUUUUGUUGGUUUCUAGGACCGCCGUAAUGAUUAAUAGGGACAGUCGGGGGCGUCAGUAUUCAAUUGUCAGAGGUGAAAUUCUUGGAUUUAUUGAAGACUAACUGCUGCGAAAGCGUUCGCCAAGGAUGUUUUCAUUAAUCAGGAACGAAAGUUAGGGGAUCG